GCUAUUUUGGCAGAUAAGUGCAUUAGAUUUAGAAUCUAUGAAUGUAAAAUUUUAUUUACAGGUAGCA
Molecule: transfer RNA, 67 nt
Filed under: Astalotermes cf. qietus RDCT073
Lineage: Eukaryota; Metazoa; Arthropoda; Insecta; Blattodea; Termitidae
Also listed under: 1 other name
Description: tRNA-Leu
Source: RNAcentral